AGGAUAAACGCUGGCGGCGUGCCUAACACAUGCAAGUCGAACGCUCUUUUUCCUCGCAAGAGGGGGGAGGGAGUGGCGGACGGGUGAGGAACACAUGGGUGACCUACCUUUCAGUGAGGAAUACCGGCGAGAAAUCGCCGACAAGACCGCAUGAGCUUCCCUCGGUGAGCGAGGGAAGGAAAGCUCUCUUUCGUGAGAACGGAGGGGGGCGCUGGAAGAUGGGCCUGUGGCCGAUUAGCUAGUUGGUGAGGUAACGGCUCACCAAGGCGACGAUCGGUAGCUGGUCUGAGAGGACGAUCAGCCACACUGGGAUUGAGAACGGCCCAGACUCCUACGGGGGGCAGCAGUGAGGAAUUUUCCGCAAUGGGCGCAAGCCUGACGGAGCAACGCCGCGUGCAGGAGACGGUUUUUCGGAUCGUAAACUGACUUUUCUCGGGGACGAGAACGGACGGUACCCGAGGAAUCAGCCCCGGCUAACUACGCGCCAGCAGCCGCGGU
Molecule: ribosomal RNA, 498 nt
Filed under: uncultured bacterium
Lineage: Bacteria
Description: SSU rRNA
Rfam family: Bacterial small subunit ribosomal RNA
Source: RNAcentral